This 293-nucleotide ribosomal RNA is filed under the name uncultured eukaryote. Its description in RNAcentral is "partial 18S ribosomal RNA". It matches the Rfam family "Eukaryotic small subunit ribosomal RNA", at positions 6 to 287 of the family's 1831-position model. The record is from RNAcentral.
GGUUGAUCCUGCCAGUAGCAUAUGCUUGUCUUAAAGACUAAGCCAUGCAUGUCUAAGUAUAAACUAAUUUAUACGGUGAAACUGCGAAUGGCUCAUUAAAUCAGUUAUAGUUUAUUUGAUAAUACCUACUACUUGGAUAACCGUAGUAAUUCUAGAGCUAAUACAUGCUAAAAGGGGGGACGCAAGAACCCCUGCAUUUAUUAGAUACAAAACCAGUGCGUGGUGGUUCACUCCACCACGGAACACAUGGCGAGUCAUAAUAACUAAGCGAAUCGCAUGGCCUAACGUGCCGG